Molecule: ribosomal RNA, 253 nt
Filed under: uncultured bacterium
Lineage: Bacteria
Description: partial 16S ribosomal RNA
Rfam family: Bacterial small subunit ribosomal RNA
Source: RNAcentral
UACAGGGGGUGCAAGCGUUGCUCGGAAUCAUUGGGCGUAAAGCGCACGUAGGCGGUCUGUUAUGUCGGAUGUGAAAUCCCGGGGCUCAACCUCGGAACUGCCUUUGAUACUGCAAAUCUCGAGUCCGGAAGAGGUGAGUGGAAUUCCUAGUGUAGAGGUGAAAUUCGUAGAUAUUAGGAAGAACACCAGUGGCGAAGGCGGCUCACUGGUCCGGUACUGACGCUGAGGUGCGAAAGCGUGGGGAGCAAACAGG